GAUGAACGCUGGCGGCGUGCCUAAUACAUGCAAGUCGAGCGAACAGAUGAGGAGCUUGCUCCUCUGACGUUAGCGGCGGACGGGUGAGUAACACGUGGAUAACCUUCCUAUAAGACUGGGAUAACUUCGGGAAGCCGGAGCUAAUACCGGAUAAUAUAUUGAACCGCAUGGUUCAAUAGUGAAAGACGGUUUUGCUGUCACUUAUAGAUGGAUCCGCGCCGCAUUAGCUAGUUGGUAAGGUAACGGCUUACCAAGGCAACGAUGCGUAGCCGACCUGAGAGGGUGAUCGGCCACACUGGAACUGAGACACGGUCCAGACUCCUACGGGAGGCAGCAGUAGGGAAUAUUCCGCAAUGGGCGAAAGCCUGACGGAGCAACGCCGCGUGAGUGAUGAAGGUCUUCGGAUCGUAAAACUCUGUUAUUAGGGAAGAACAAAUGUGGAAGUAACUAUGGACGUCUUGACGGUACCUAAACAGAAAGCCACGGCUAACUACGUG
This 497-nucleotide ribosomal RNA is filed under the name uncultured bacterium. RNAcentral's name for it is "partial 16S ribosomal RNA". It matches the Rfam family "Bacterial small subunit ribosomal RNA", at positions 28 to 507 of the family's 1533-position model. The record is from RNAcentral.